CCUACGGGUGGCAGCAGUGAGGAAUAUUGGUCAAUGGACGAGAGUCUGAACCAGCCAAGUAGCGUGAAGGAUGACUGCCCUAUGGGUUGUAAACUUCUUUUAUAAAGGAAUAAAACGAGGCACGUGUGCCUUUUUGCAUGUACUUUAUGAAUAAGGAUCGGCUAACUCCGUGCCAGCAGCCGCGGUAAUACGGAGGAUCCGAGCGUUAUCCGGAUUUAUUGGGUUUAAAGGGAGCGUAGAUGGGUUGUUAAGUCAGUUGUGAAAGUUUGCGGCUCAACCGCAAAAUUGCAAUUGAUACUGGCAGUCUUGAGUACAGUUGAGGUAGGCGGAAUUCGUGGUGUAGCGGUGAAAUGCUUAGAUAUCACGAAGAACCCCGAUUGCGAAGGCAGCUUACUAAACUGUGACUGACGCUGAAGCACGAAAGCGUGGGUAUCGAACAGGAUUAGAUACCCUUGUAGUC
This 460-nucleotide ribosomal RNA is filed under the name uncultured bacterium. RNAcentral describes it as "partial 16S ribosomal RNA". It matches the Rfam family "Bacterial small subunit ribosomal RNA", at positions 338 to 795 of the family's 1533-position model. The record is from RNAcentral.